This is a long non-coding RNA of Lolium perenne, 423 nucleotides long. RefSeq lists it as uncharacterized. NCBI's taxonomy places the organism in Eukaryota, Viridiplantae, Streptophyta, Magnoliopsida, Poales, Poaceae. The record is from RefSeq and is a predicted model, not a curated record.
CUGUUAUAUUGUUCAAGAAGGGUAUUGCUGUUGAUCGGUUAGUUGGAUUUGAAGACCUUGGAGGUAAAGAUGAUUUUUCUACCAGGGCAUUGGAAAAUAUUCUGAAGAGGAAAGAUUUUAACAGAGAAAAUGUAGGUGCAACAUUUUUUCUCUUAUUGAAUCAGCUAACACAUGGCUGGAGAUCCUAAUCUAAGUGGUCAUUGGUCUCACUUUGUUGCUAGAGGAAUUGGAUUUAGAAGUAGAAGCUUCUGGUUUUCUUCUCUGUCACUCACGUAAUGAUGUGAUGAGGUGCAAAUGUUUAGCAGUGGUCAGUUAAUGUUAUUUCAAUGCCCACAAUCAAUCUUUCCAAAUCAGGUAAUUGCUCUUGUUAUUUUACCAUUUUAUGUGUCAUUUUGUUUUCCUAAUUCUUCACAUCCAUUCCUA